CCUACGGGAGGCAGCAGUGGGGAAUAUUGUGCAAUGGGCGCAAGCCUGACCCAGCAACGCCGCGUGAAGGAAGAAGGCUUUCGGGUUGUAAACUUCUUUUGUCAGGGAAGAGUAGAAGCCGUUACCUGACGAAUAAGCCACGGCUAACUACGUGCCAGCAGCCGCGGUAAUACGUAGGUGGCAAGCGUUGUCCGGAUUUACUGGGUGUAAAGGGCGUGUAGCCGGGUUGACAAGUCAGAUGUGAAAUCCUGCGGCUUAACCGCAGAACUGCAUUUGAAACUGUUGAUCUUGAGUACUGGAGAGGCAGACGGAAUUCCUAGUGUAGCGGUGAAAUGCGUAGAUAUUAGGAGGAACACCAGUGGCGAAGGCGGUCUGCUGGACAGCAACUGACGGUGAGGCGCGAAAGCGUGGGGAGCAAACAGGAUUAGAUACCCCAGUAGUC
RNAcentral lists this ribosomal RNA (442 nucleotides) under uncultured bacterium. RNAcentral describes it as "partial 16S ribosomal RNA". It matches the Rfam family "Bacterial small subunit ribosomal RNA", at positions 338 to 795 of the family's 1533-position model. The record is from RNAcentral.